RNAcentral lists this transfer RNA (72 nucleotides) under Bos taurus (domestic cattle). It matches the Rfam family "tRNA". Rfam says of the family: Transfer RNA (tRNA) molecules are approximately 80 nucleotides in length. Their secondary structure includes four short double-helical elements and three loops (D, anti-codon, and T loops). Further hydrogen bonds mediate the characteristic L-shaped molecular structure. tRNAs have two regions of fundamental functional importance: the anti-codon, which is responsible for specific mRNA codon recognition, and the 3' end, to which the tRNAs corresponding amino acid is attached (by aminoacyl-tRNA synthetases). tRNAs cope with the degeneracy of the genetic code in two manners: having more than one tRNA (with a specific anti-codon) for a particular amino acid; and 'wobble' base-pairing, i.e. permitting non-standard base-pairing at the 3rd anti-codon position. The record is from Rfam by way of RNAcentral. RNAcentral also lists the same sequence under 3 other names. Lineage: Eukaryota; Metazoa; Chordata; Mammalia; Artiodactyla; Bovidae.
UCCCUGAUGGUUCAGCGGUUAAGCAUCUGCCUGCCAGUGCAGGGGACGCAGGUUCCAUCCCUGCUCUGGGAC